AAAAUUUGUUGAGGACACUCUUUCUGCUGAUUUUCAUGUAAUUAUAUUUGCAUAUAAUGCUUAACCCUUCUAUAAUUAUUAUUGUUUUAUACUUCGUUCUUUUUUCAAUAGGAGAAAGUUCCAGGUUUCGCAACAUGCGAACUAAUCAAAAGCUUCUCCAUACUAUGGGUAGAAAUGGUUAUCCACGUGUGGCUUAUAAAAUGGUACAUCUUAGGAACAUAUCUUAUCUUCUUACUUGGAUUGUCCAAUUUGAAUAUAUGUGAUUACUACAGUUGUAUUGCAGAAAAAAUCCAAGUUUAAAAGGGUUAAGAACAGAAGUAUAGAAAUAUGGACAUCUUAGAAAAGAUGGAAACCCAAUUAAUGAAGCAGUUGUCGAAACUUUGAUAUGUGUAUUAUACCAAUGUUCAAUGAAGCAUAAAUUGAUUUAUUAGUUGUAUCACUUGCUAGUAUUUGAUUUGAGUUCCAUAAGCGCAAAAAAGGAUUGACGAUUGUGCAGCAUCAAUUUCUGAUACGCCCGCCGAAGAUUCCAUCCGUGAUUAUGCUGUCGCUUGAGUUUUAGGCCCUGAACAUCAUGGGAGAGUUAGGGGACUCGAAUUUGGAGUUGUACCAUCAGAGGUGGAUGGACAAAUUCAAAGUAGUGGGAGAGUUAAAGAAUUCAAAAGUCAAUUAUAGACUCAGGCACAAAGGGUGGGAACAUUAGAAAAAAAUGGAUGCACUUCUCACGUUAUCUCAGGAGGUUAUACCUAGUUACCUUUUAUAUAUUUCAUGAUUAUAUAGCUUUAUAUAGCCAAUUACAUGUAGAAUUACUUUUGUAAUUUUUGUAUCAUUAUACAGAAUGUAGAGGACAGGAAUUCAAAUGCUUUUACU
This 867-nucleotide long non-coding RNA is filed under the name Olea europaea subsp. europaea. The record is from RNAcentral. Lineage: Eukaryota; Viridiplantae; Streptophyta; Magnoliopsida; Lamiales; Oleaceae.